Molecule: transfer RNA, 86 nt
Filed under: Puccinia triticina 1-1 BBBD Race 1
Lineage: Eukaryota; Fungi; Basidiomycota; Pucciniomycetes; Pucciniales; Pucciniaceae
Rfam family: tRNA
About the family: Transfer RNA (tRNA) molecules are approximately 80 nucleotides in length. Their secondary structure includes four short double-helical elements and three loops (D, anti-codon, and T loops).
Source: Rfam by way of RNAcentral
GUGCCUGUAGCCUAAUUGGUAAAGGAAGCACUCUAGAAUGUGUUUCAGCAUGGCUGAGGUUGUGAGUUCAACUCUUUCCAGACACA